RNAcentral lists this ribosomal RNA (353 nucleotides) under uncultured Proteiniphilum sp. RNAcentral's name for it is "bacterial SSU rRNA". It matches the Rfam family "Bacterial small subunit ribosomal RNA", at positions 1028 to 1382 of the family's 1533-position model. Lineage: Bacteria; Pseudomonadati; Bacteroidota; Bacteroidia; Bacteroidales; Dysgonomonadaceae. The record is from RNAcentral.
AGAUGUGUAGGUGCUGCAUGGUUGUCGUCAGCUCGUGCCGUGAGGUGUCGGCUUAAGUGCCAUACGAGCGCAACCUCAUCAUUAGUUACCAUCAGGUAAGGCUGGGGACUCUAAUGAGACUGCCAUCGUAAGAUGUGAGGAAGGUGGGGAUGACGUCAAAUCAGCACGGCCCUUACGUCCGGGGCGACACACGUGUUACAAUGGGUGGUACAAAGGGCAGCUACCUGGCGACAGGAUGCUAAUCUCGAAAACCGCUCUCAGUUCGGAUCGGAGUCUGCAACUCGACUCCGUGAAGCUGGAUUCGCUAGUAAUCGCGCAUCAGCCACGGCGCGGUGAAUACGUUCCCGGGCCUU